RNAcentral lists this ribosomal RNA (510 nucleotides) under uncultured bacterium. RNAcentral's name for it is "bacterial SSU rRNA". It matches the Rfam family "Bacterial small subunit ribosomal RNA", at positions 19 to 518 of the family's 1533-position model. The record is from RNAcentral.
CUGGCUCAGGAUGAACGCUAGCUACAGGCUUAACACAUGCAAGUCGAGGGGCAGCAUAACGAAAGCUUGCUUUGUUGAUGGCGACCGGCGCACGGGUGAGUAACGCGUAUCCAACCUUCCCCUUAGUAGGGCAUAGCCCGGCGAAAGUCGGAUUAAUACCCUAUGUUUUCCGUUGAGGACAUCUGAAGUGGAACAAAGAUUUAUCGCUAAGGGAUGGGGAUGCGUCUGAUUAGGUUGUUGGCGGGGUAACGGCCCACCAAGCCAUCGAUCAGUAGGGGUUCUGAGAGGAAGGUCCCCCCACAUUGGUACUGAGACACGGACCAAACUCCUACGGGAGGCAGCAGUGAGGAAUAUUGGUCAAUGGGCGAGAGCCUGAACCAGCCAAGUAGCGUGCAGGAUGACGGCCCUAUGGGUUGUAAACUGCUUUUGCAUGGGAAUAAAGUGAGGGACGUGUCCCUUUUUGUAUGUACCAUGAGAAUAAGGACCGGCUAAUUCCGUGCCAGCCGCUGC